UCAGAUUGCUAUCGUAUCUUACGGUAAAGAGAAACCAGCUGUAUUAGGGCACGAUGAAGCAGCUUACGCUAAAAAUCGUCGUGCUGUCUUAUCCUACUAAGAGAAUGCAAUGAGAAAUUAUUUCAGAUUUUAUCUAUUG
RNAcentral lists this small RNA (139 nucleotides) under secondary endosymbiont of Ctenarytaina eucalypti. RNAcentral's name for it is "CpoB/ybgF ICR thermometer". It matches the Rfam family "CpoB/ybgF ICR thermometer". From Rfam's summary of the family: Imprinting control region from upstream of cpoB/ybgF (tol/pal system protein). Lineage: Bacteria; Pseudomonadati; Pseudomonadota; Gammaproteobacteria; Enterobacterales; Enterobacteriaceae. The record is from Rfam by way of RNAcentral.